RNAcentral lists this ribosomal RNA (492 nucleotides) under uncultured bacterium. RNAcentral's name for it is "partial 16S ribosomal RNA". It matches the Rfam family "Bacterial small subunit ribosomal RNA", at positions 29 to 507 of the family's 1533-position model. The record is from RNAcentral.
AGUGAACGCUGGCGGUAGGCCUAACACAUGCAAGUCGAACGGCAGCACAGUAAGAGCUUGCUCUUACGGGUGGCGAGUGGCGGACGGGUGAGGAAUACAUCGGAAUCUACUUUUUCGUGGGGGAUAACGUAGGGAAACCUACGCUAAUACCGCAUACGACCUACGGGUGAAAGCAGGGGAUCUUCGGACCUUGCGCGAUUGAAUGAGCCGAUGUCGGAUUAGCUAGUUGGCGGGGUAAAGGCCCACCAAGGCGACGAUCCGUAGCUGGUCUGAGAGGAUGAUCAGCCACACUGGAACUGAGACACGGUCCAGACUCCUAUGGGAGGCAGCAGUGGGGAAUAUUGGACAAUGGGCGCAAGCCUGAUCCAGCCAUACCGCGUGGGUGAAGAAGGCCUUCGGGUUGUAAAGCCCUUUUGUUGGGAAAGAAAAGCAGCAGGUUAAUACCCCGCUGUUCUGACGGUACCCAAAGAAUAAGCACCGGCUAACUUCGUG